Apis florea (little honeybee) is the source of this 1064-nucleotide long non-coding RNA. NCBI's taxonomy places the organism in Eukaryota, Metazoa, Arthropoda, Insecta, Hymenoptera, Apidae. The record is from RefSeq and is a predicted model, not a curated record.
AGUACUUCAAUUUCAACCUCUUUGAUCAAUCAUAUACAUUUGCACCGAUUUAUCAGGAUUUUAUUUUUAAAAAAAAUGGAGGAAACAUGAUAGAGAUAGAUGACAAAUUUCUGCGAGGAUUCGAUGAAUGAAUACCCGAGAGUGAUAUUAUUCACAUUACCUCGAGUGUGUCUAUAUAUAAUUUCUCAUUUAAACAAUGGUUCACGAGCGAUGCAUUUGCACCGUGUAGCAGCAAUGCAAUUCUACUUUAACAUAUCGAUUCACGUACGUCGAAAGUUUCAGAAGGCCACGGCAAUACGAUUGAACGAGCAAAGCCUCUAAAAGAGACGAGAACUUUUACACGAAUUUAAACUUUCCAUCAAGAAGGAAGAGGAUCCCGUCGUUUUUGAUGGACAACGAACCGAUCAAAGAUCGAUCCUCGAUCGGUGUUAAUGAAAUUAGCGGGCGAUGGCCGAGGGAUAAGACGCUGUGCAGAGCGGAAAACGCGGAUGAGAGACGGAUUCGCGCGGAAGAGUCGGCCCAGCCGGAUACCUGAUAUCGGUAUUAACUCGACCAUAAAGCAUUCCGCAGGCCGCGUCCACAAAGUGAUUGCGAUUGCGCCUCGGGCAUUACAACGCGCAGAUUUAUGAACAGGAGUUGCCUGCGAACAAAAAUUGGAAAGGAGAUAGGAUAAAGGUUUCAUUUGUGAAAGAAGAACGAAGGGAAUAAUGAUAUAUGUAUAUGUAUAAGGGAUGGUAUGAAGAAUGGUAAUGAAGCGGAUCUAAAGAGGAUCUCGGAUGAUUCUGCCGCGAGGAUUCCGAUCCAAAUUGUCAGAAUCCUUCGAGUCUGGAGGGUGUUGGAGACGUUACAAAAUGCGUUCCGCAAUGCAGACACCGCGGAACCUUUGUACAGCUCGAUGCCAGCUGUGAGGAGUGCCAAGUAAAAACUGAAUAUUUGUCGCCUUAAUAUGUCCAAUAAAUAUGCUUCAAAUUGCGAGAAAAGAGGCAGCAGAUGAAAAGCAAGCGGAGCAUUCGAUUUAUCAUAUUCAAAAUAGUUUUAGAUCAACGACUAUUUUUAAUUUUGUC